RNAcentral lists this ribosomal RNA (460 nucleotides) under uncultured bacterium. RNAcentral describes it as "partial 16S ribosomal RNA". It matches the Rfam family "Bacterial small subunit ribosomal RNA", at positions 338 to 795 of the family's 1533-position model. The record is from RNAcentral.
CCUACGGGUGGCAGCAGUGAGGAAUAUUGGUCAAUGGACGAGAGUCUGAACCAGCCAAGUCGCGUGAGGGAUGACUGCCCUAUGGGUUGUAAACUUCUUUUAUAUGGGAAUAAAAUGUUCCACGUGUGUGAUUUUGUAUGUACCAUAUGAAUAAGGAUCGGCUAACUCCGUGCCAGCAGCCGCGGUAAUACGGAGGAUCCGAGCGUUGUCCGGAUUGAUUGGGUUUAAAGGGAGCGUAGGUGGAUUGAGAAGUCAGUUGUGAAGGUUUGCGGCUCAACCGGAGAAGUGCAGUUGAAACUGGUGUGCUUGAGUGCAGGAGAGGUGGGCGGAAUGCGUGGUGUAGCGGUGAAAUGCUUAGAUAUCACGAAGAACUCCGAUUGCGAAGGCAGUUCACUGGACUGCAACUGACGCUGAGGCUCGAAAGUGUGGGUAUCGAACAGGAUUAGAUACCCGUGUAGUC